This 775-nucleotide ribosomal RNA is filed under the name uncultured Neocallimastigales. RNAcentral describes it as "partial large subunit ribosomal RNA". It matches the Rfam family "Eukaryotic large subunit ribosomal RNA", at positions 22 to 612 of the family's 3401-position model. The record is from RNAcentral. Lineage: Eukaryota; Fungi; Neocallimastigomycota; Neocallimastigomycetes; Neocallimastigales.
AUAUCAGUCAUGCAUAGCAUAUCAAUAAGCGGAGGAAAAGAAACUAACAAGGAUUCCCUUAGUAACGGCGAGUGAAGCGGGAAGAGCUCAAAUUUGAAAUCUUCAAGGUUUUACCUUGACGAAUUGUAGUUUAAAGAAGUGUUUUCUGUUGAAGUUUUGGUAAAAGUUCUUUGGAAUAGGACAUCAUAGAGGGUGAGAAUCCCGUAUUUGACCAUUAUUUUCAGCUGUGUGAUACACUUUCAAAGAGUCGGAUUGUUUGGGAAUGCAGUCCAAAAUGGGUGGUAAAUUUCAUCUAAAGCUAAAUAUUGGCGAGAGACCGAUAGCGAACAAGUACCGUGAGGGAAAGAUGAAAAGAACUUUGAAAAGAGAGUUAAACAGUACGUGAAAUUGUCAAAAGGGAAGCGUUUGACACCAGUGUUGUUUUCUCGAAAAUCAAUUAAAAAAAGUUGGAUUUUGUGUUGUAUUGACCUUAACAGCUUUCUGCACUCUUUUCCUGCUUUUUUUAAUGCACUUUUCGUUUAACAAGUCAACAUCAGGUUUCUUUUGUUGUAAAAGGGUCAUUGGAAGGUGGCUUUCUUUUCGGAGAAAGUGUUUAUAGCCUUGUGCCUCUGCAAUCGGAGAGAUUGAGGUCUGCAGCGUAGAUCCUUCGGGGUUAGAUGCAUUUGUGCUAAGUUAUAGCCUUUCAUAGACAACUUGUUGACUAUGAUCAGUCAUGUAGCUUACUCGCUUAUGUCAUUUUACCUACGCUUAGGAUGUUGACGCAUGAGAUAUACGC